AGGUCCACCCCAGAGAAUUACCCAACCUCCCUCAGCCGCCGCCUUUUAAUAACAUGGAGCCCCAAACCCCAACCCACUGAAAUGAUCUAGUCUUACAAUUUUUGUAUUUUGUGUAAUCCAGCGUAUUUCAUAAAACGAGGACAUAUUUCAGUCUGUCGCUUUUCUCAUCAGAGCGGAUCGUUUGCCAAAAACAGCCGCUGUGCCCGUCAGCCUGCUAAUAUCACUGCAGCUGUUCAGACCUGUGUGGGUGUCGCACCAGAGACGGCGUUUGAAGAUGACACUGAAAAUGUGAUCGCUGACAGAUUUUAAAAGGAAAACGGUGAAGGGCAGCGUCUUACGUCCUGAGCAGAUGCCACCCAGGGGGUGGGGUCUGGAGGGGGCAACAUAGGCCAGCCCCAGCGUUCCCAUAUCAAAAUCCUGGUACGUGAACAGGUGGGCCAAACACACAGAGGAGGCGUUGUCUGAGAUGUCCAAGCUGAAUUGCUAUUAGACAUAAAGGGAAAAACCUAUUAACAUUACUCUAUGCUGGCAUGUUUAUUUAAAUUUUUAACAUCUCUGAUUCUCACAGAGCAAACUUUGAACAGUUUCUUUGUGUUCCUACCUCCAGAAGUUUCUUCACUUCCCACACUUCUUUUCCUUUCACAGGACUGUCCUCCAUAUUAUAAUGGACCCAGCCAGCAGGCGAUCCGGAGGGAGGCUUCGUCGGCUCCUGGUUAAUAAUGAUCUGAUGACAAAAAACACACUCAGAAUUACUCAUGACGAAAUGUUAGUAAUGAAAAGCUGAACUUUCUGGGAUGAGCAGGUGUGUGUGUGUGUGUGCGUGUGUGUGUGUGUGACUAAAUUAAGAUAAUUAUAGAACAAUCACACACGGAAGGUUGUUAAAAAUAGCAGACCUAUAGCAGCUAUUUGAAUACAUGCUCAAGAGUGAUGAGAUGUUUCCUCUCGCGGUAGCUUAGAGUAAAAACUUUGAGACAUUUAGAGUAAAUAAACUGUAAAAACAAAAAAGGCUAUUUGGCAUUUUAGAAAGGAAAUAAAUGAAAAGCCCAAGUUCCUUCUCAAAAUGCUGUCCACACUCGCUAUUUUCAGCCUUUUAUUCCAAGAGUGACUCUGAAUAAACUAAAGCACUGUACAGAUGUAGGUUUGGGAGAAAAAGGGAGGAAGAGGACAGCACACCUGCUGGAUCUGAACCCCGUAGCCUUUAAAUUCAUCAUUCCAGGUGGUGUUUCUGUAAAUGUCAUCGACUCGAUCGAUCAGCUCAAUCUGCAUCCAAGAUGAACAAAGAUGUUGAAAUAAAACAAAAGGAGAGUUUCUUUAUUAUUAAAUUCUUAUAGAAAAUAGACAUUUAUCAUGUCAGACCAGGUAGUUGAGAGUAACGCUCUCUUGCCCGCGGCCCAUGUGUUUGAAGAAGCGGUAAUCUGCAACCAGCAGCAGGGAGCAGGUGUUCUUCCUGUGGUCGUGGACUUGUCUUUUCUCUCUGUGUUGGUGUUCUACAAAGAAUAAAAAUGUAUCUUCAAACAGA
Molecule: non-coding RNA, 1519 nt
Organism: Nothobranchius furzeri (turquoise killifish)
Lineage: Eukaryota; Metazoa; Chordata; Actinopteri; Cyprinodontiformes; Nothobranchiidae
Source: RefSeq, a predicted model, not a curated record